GACGAACGCUGGCGGCGUGCCUAACACAUGCAAGUCGAGCGAGGUGUAUACACCUAGCGGCGGACGGGUGAGUAACACGUGGGUAACCUGCCUCAGAGAGGGGAAUAGCCUUCCGAAAGGAAGAUUAAUACCGCAUAAUAUACGCAUUUAGCAUUAUGAGCGUAUCAAAGGAGAAAUCCGCUUUGAGAUGGGCCCGCGGCGCAUUAGCUAGUUGGAGAGGUAACGGCUCACCAAGGCGACGAUGCGUAGCCGACCUGAGAGGGUGAUCGGCCACAUUGGAACUGAGACACGGUCCAG
Molecule: ribosomal RNA, 297 nt
Filed under: uncultured bacterium
Lineage: Bacteria
Description: partial 16S ribosomal RNA
Rfam family: Bacterial small subunit ribosomal RNA
Source: RNAcentral